CACUCCUGCGGGAGGCAGCAGUGGGGAAUUUUGGACAAUGGGGGCAACCCUGAUCCAGCAAUGCCGCGUGAGUGAAGAAGGCCUUCGGGUUGUAAAGCUCUUUUGUCAGGGAAGAAACGGUGGUGGCGAAUAACUACUACUAAUGACGGUACCUGAAGAAUAAGCACCGGCUAACUACGUGCCAGCAGCCGCGGUAAUACGUAGGGUGCAAGCGUUAAUCGGAAUUACUGGGCGUAAAGCGUGCGCAGGCGGUUGUGUAAGUCAGAUGUGAAAUCCCCGGGCUCAACCUGGGAAUUGCAUUUGAGACUGCACGGCUAGAGUGUGUCAGAGGGGGGUAGAAUUCCACGUGUAGCAGUGAAAUGCGUAGAUAUGUGGAGGAAUACCGAUGGCGAAGGCAGCCCCCUGGGAUAACACUGACGCUCAUGCACGAAAGCGUGGGGAGCAAACAGGAUUAGAUACCCCGGUAGUCCCAUGAU
Molecule: ribosomal RNA, 476 nt
Filed under: uncultured organism
Description: partial 16S ribosomal RNA
Rfam family: Bacterial small subunit ribosomal RNA
Source: RNAcentral